GACGAACGCUGGCGGCGUGCUUAACACAUGCAAGUCGAACGGAAAGGCCCUGGUUUUGUGGGGGGCUCGAGUGGCGAACGGGUGAGUAACACGUGAGUAACCUGCCCUUGACUUUGGGAUAACUUCAGGAAACUGGGGCUAAUACCGGAUAGGAGCUCCUGCGGCAUGGUGGGGGUUGGAAAGUUUCGGCGGUUGGGGAUGGAUGCGGGGCUUAUGAGCUUGGUGGUGGGGUAGUGGCUUACCAAGGCUUUGACGGGUAGCCGGCCUGAGAGGGUGACCGGCCACAUUGGGACUAAGGUACGGCGCAGACUCGUACGGGAGACAGCAGUGGGGAAUAUUGCACAAUGGGCGGACGCCUGAUGAAGCAACGCCGCGUGCGGGAUGAAGGCCUUCCGGUUGUGAACCGCUUUCGCCUGUGACGAAGGGUGAGUGACGGUAAUGGGUAAAGAAGCACCGGCUAACUACGUG
RNAcentral lists this ribosomal RNA (468 nucleotides) under uncultured bacterium. RNAcentral's name for it is "partial 16S ribosomal RNA". It matches the Rfam family "Bacterial small subunit ribosomal RNA", at positions 28 to 507 of the family's 1533-position model. The record is from RNAcentral.